CAGUUAUAAUUCUGCAGAGUGUGGCCACUGCUUCUCCCAUCCUCCUUUCCCAAGGACGGUGGGGAUUGCUAUAGGGCUGGUAGGUAGUUUACCGUCCCUUCUAUAGGCAUAGAUUUGGCACUGACAUCACAGCUUCAUAACCCCCACCACGGCCAGCUUCCCCUGCCUGUUAUCCUAGAUCCAGUCUGUUCUUGUUCAUUGAGAAUCCUGUGUUCCCACUUCAGUGACACCUGAAUUUUUUUUUAAUUGUCUUCAAGGAGGCCUCAUCUGGUUGUGUACCUAGUCAAAUCCCCAUGAUAUCUCAGUAGAAGAAAGAAGGAGGAUCUUAAAACUUCAGGGAAGAAAUAAUUUCUUCAACGAAGACGAUAUAAGGUUGACACCAGAACUCUCAUGAGAAAACUGUAAACCAGAAGACAAUAACUUAACAACUUAUCCGUAAUUAUUUCUAAUCUAGAUUUCUAUACUCAGAAACUUUGUAAAGCUGUCUUUAGCUAAAUGAGAUAAAGAACUUGUAUCUCCGUCAAUCUAUUAUCUUAGGAAGUUACUUGAAGAAGUUUUCCAUCAAACUGAAAUAGAAAACCAAGAGAACAGAAGACAUGGGCUCCAGAAAACAGUAGCUCCAAUGUGAAAGAUCAAUACAGUUCACUAUCAGGAUGCAAUCAGCUCAUCCAGCCAAAAAAUCAAACAGACCAUAUUUAGUGCAGGAAAUUCAGAAACACCUGGAGGGGAAUUUCAAGAAAAAACAAAGGAAAGCAUGUAAUGAAUUGGAUUGGAUAAUAUAUGGAGAUGUUGGAAAUAAUAAUAUAUUAAAGGCUAUAAAUACAAGAAAAUCAAUUAAACAAUGAUAAUGGAAUCAUGAGGUGGAAAAGGAAAGGCUGCAAUACCUGAACUUAAAAGUAGCAAUUUAAUAUGAAGCAAAGGGAAGAUUACAUGGUAGUGAGCAACUAAUGUAGUGUAACUAGAGAAUCUAUUUGACCUGGGUAUCAGAAACAUUUCCCUUAAGGGGCUAAAGAGUAUUAACUCUACAAAGUGCACAUGACCCUAAAACACUAAGUAAUCUGUCAUUGAAAAAUAAAGUGUACAUUUAUUUGUAUUCACUUUAGAGUUAACCAGUGACUAAAGCAUAGGAACAUUGGUUGGGGCCAAAAGGGAAAAGUGUGAAUUCUGACAGCUUUAAUCAUAAUUUUAAAAAUGAUUCAAUAACUAAUAGAAAGUAGAAUAUAAAAGGCUGAGUGUGAUAAAGAAGGUGAGUGCAAGGGUAGUGGAAGUUAUAUUUCUGUUACAAAAUGGGAAAUUAGACAUAUUUUCAGACAGUCAAAUUAUUAAAAAUACAAAGCAAUCCAACAGUAAAACAGAAAUUCAAAUUCAGAGGAGAAAAGAUAGGUGUAGUUAGCUUCAGUAAUGUAAAUCCUCAUCUUUCAUAUUGAGAAUUAAACAGCAAUGGUCUUAAGUUGGUCAUUAAAAUGGUGUUGUAAACCUACUGUGUAGCAUUAUGGAGAUAUUCCCGUAAAUAAUAAAAUACAAAUUUGAGAAAUAUUAUUACAUUUACAAAGGUGUUAUACUAUUCUAAUAUGUACAAGAGUAAAAAUAAGAUUGGCAGCUGCGGGGAGAUGCGUGCAAAAGAGCAUCAGUGAGAGGUAUAAUUUGGGAGAGUGAGCCCUCAGGAUCCAGAGAGGAAAUUGUUAAUAUUAUUUAUUAUAUCCUUAGGGCCAUAUAUACACAGGGCAGAAGAGAACUAAUUAUGCCAAAGAAAUGUUCUUCCCUAUGGACUUGACACAAUAAUGGAGCCUCUGAUUUCUUUCAAAAAGUAACAAGCUGAAGAGGUUUAGUAGAAGCCAUUUUUAUUAGAAGGCUUGAAGGAAUUACAGUGUUUUGGACAAGGAACACAAAGAAAAUUGAAACUAAGUUUUGUAUAUUUCAAUUUAAAGUCUGCUUUAACAGGUAAAGUAGGGUAAAGUAGUGGAAAUUUGAUAAUACGCAAAAAUGUUUCUAUAUUUUGCAGAAAGAAACCUGGAGAAAUUGUAAUAGGAUGUAAAAGUAUGUAUAUAAUUUAGAAUUAACAGGAAAAAAAAAACUCAGUGCCUUAAAGAAGGAGCUGAUUUCAUUUACAUCACAUAGGAUAAACUAAUAGAAUUUUAAUAUUAAUACCUUCAGUACAGUGAAUUAAUCUCAGGAUAACCGUUUAAAUGUUUAGCUAGUUCAUUUUAAAAUAGAAGGUGUAGUACUUUACUUACUGUAUAGCCUAGAGAUUGCACAUAGAGAUGAAGGAUUAUGAUAUUAAAUCUAGAAACACAUGUCUUUAUGUUUGGGGGCAACCUAAGUGUAUAUGUAUAAGGUGACAAUGUGUGUAUGAUUAUGACUAUUUAUUAACCAUCACUAUGAAAAUGUAAAAUGUAGUGAAAGUAUUUGUAUAACUUAACUGAACCACUAUGAGUUUUUUGUUUUAUUUUGUUUUUUCAAGACAUGCUCUUCCUGUGUCAUCCAGGCUGGAGUGCAGCGGUGCAAUCACGGCUCACUGCAGCCUUGAACUCCCAGGUUCAAGUGAUCCUCCCACCUUAGCCUCCUGUGUAGCUAGGACUACAGGCAUGCAUCACCAUGCCCCAUGCCACCACGGUUACCACACCUUGCUAAUUUUUGUAUUUUUUGUAGAGACGGGAUUUUGUUAGGCACACCCAGGCUGAUCUGGAACUCUUGGGCUGAAGCCCACAUCCUCUUAUAGUGCUGGGAUUACAGGUGUGACCCACUGUUCCUGACCACCUCUAUGAAUUCCUAAAUAUACUAUAUGAAUUACGCUAUUUUCCUUUGUCUGUAUUCACAAGUGACAUUCACCUGAUGAUUUACAUAUUUUAUUUUGCGUAUAUUUUCUUUUCUUUGUUCACAAAGAAUAUAGAAAUGACAAUACGUGUUAAGUAGGUCCCAUUUCUUCAUUCCAUUGUGUUUGAUGUUUUAGUAUCAUUGGUAACAUUGUUUUUUUGUCAGAACAUUCUUGACUAUACAAGAGUCGAUCAUUUAAAGCUACUUUCAUUAUAAUCUUCUAAAGUACUCUUAGGAGAUAAUCAGGAAAAAACAUACAGAUAAAUAUAUAGAUAUGUUGCGGGAAAUCAGGGAUUCUGAACAGAGGGACCUGCUGAAGCUGUGACAGAAUAACAUAAAUUGUGAAGAUUUCAUGGACAUUUAUUCAUUCCCCAAAUUAAUACUUUUAUAAUUUCUUAUACCUGUCUUUACUACAAUCUCUGAACAUAAAUUGUGAAGAUUCCAUGGACAUUUAUCACUUCCCCAAUCAAUACUCUUGUGAUUUCCUAUGUCUGUCUUUAAUCUAUUAAUCCCAUCAUCUUCAUAAGCUGAGGAUGUAUGUCGCCUCAGGACCCUGUGAUGAUUGUGUUAACUGCACAAAUUGUUCAUAAAGCAUGUGUGUUUAAACAAUAUGAAAUCUGGGCACCUUGAAAAAAGAACAGGAUAACAGCGAUGUUCAGGGAAAAAGGGAGAUAACCAUUGGGCCUGACUGCCUGAGGUGCCAGGUGGAACAGAGUCAUAUUUCUCUUCUUACAAAAGCGAAUAGGAGAAAUAUCGCUGAAUUCUUUUUCUCAGCAAGGAACAGCCCUGAGAAAGAAUGCAUUCCCAGAGGGAGGUCUCUAAAAUGGCCACUCUAGGAAUGUCUGUCUUAUACGGUUGUAAACAAGGGAUGAAACAAGCCCCAGUCUACCGUAGGGCCCCCAGGCCUAUAGGAUCAGGAAAUUCCUGCCUAGUAAAUUUUAGUCAGACCGGUUGUCUGCUCUCAAACCCUGUCACCUGAUAAGAUGUUAUCAAUGACAAUGCGUGCCCAGUGGGACAUGAAAGUUAAUUAGCAAUUUUAAUUUCAUCCUGGUCCCAUGAUCUCGCUCUGCCCCCAUUUGCCUUGUGAUAUUUUAUUGCCUUGUGAAGCAUACAACCUCUGUGACCCACACCCUAUUCAUACACUCCCUCCUUUUCAAAUCCAUAAUAAAAACUUGCUGGUUUUGUGGCUUGGGGGCAUCACGGAACCUGCUGACAUAUGAUGUCUCCCUUGGACACCCAGCUUUAAAAUUUCUCUGUUUUGUAUUCUUUCCCUUUAUUUCUCAGACCAACCGACACUCAGGGAAAAUAGAAAAGAACCCACGUUGAAAUAUCGGGGGCUGGUUCCCCCGAUAUAGAUAUAUUUUUAAAAUCGAAGAGACAUUAUAAUGUUAUUUUAUUGUAUCUCUUAUUGAAUGGGACUUUCCUUUCUUUCUUUCUUUCUUUCUCCCUCUCUCUGUCUCUACUUCUUCCUUCCUUCCUAGCUUCUUUCCUUCCUUGCUUCCUUUCUUUGUUUUCUUCCUUCUUUGGAUAUUGCUGUGAACACAGCGUAUAGACAAAGUAAAAUCCUCUCUGCUAAAAUCAUGUGUUUAUGCACAUAAUAGGCUAACACUAUGGAUAUGCAAUCUACCAUUUGAAAAUAGUUCAUUCCAGACUAAUCUCACUUUAUUCACGAUUGUUAUAUCUUGACAUAUGUCCCCCCAAAACUUCAUAUGUUGAAUUGUAUUCCAAAACGUCAGACUUUGACUGUCUUUGGACAUAGGACCUUUAAAGAGGUCAUUAAUUUAAAAUGUCUUUAGAAUAGACCCUAAUCCAGUAUGAUUUAUCAGAAAAGGCAAUUAGGAUACACAGUGGGUCAACCUAUGUGAGGACACAACUAGAAGGAGGCCAUCCUCAAGCCAAGGAAAGGGGCCACAGAAGAACUUAGCUUGCCAAUGCCAACACCUUGAUCUUAAACUUCCAGGCUUCCGUAAUUGUGAGGAAGUAUUUUUACGUUGUUUAAACUACCCAGUCUGUGUUAUUUUGUUACAGCAGACCUAGUAAACUAAAACAACAACUUAGAUGCUUGUGCGUUUAAAGGUUGUAACUUUAACAUGCUUUCUUUUUGUUCAUUCACUCUCAUGUAUGUGUCUGCAUUCUCUUAGGUUAACUUUUUCACAUGUAUGACUUUGAGUACAAUCUUAUUGCUGCUGAUGCCGACCAAACCUUAGCCUCUAAUAAUUUAGACUCAUAUAAAACUGAUUAAUGGAUAUAUAAUUUAUUGUUGCAUGGGUUUCACAAACUCAGGAUGUCCCAAAUGAAUUCUUCAUUUUUUCUACAAUUCUGUUCAUGUGCUCGCAUACUUUCUACAGCAGUAAGUGGUGGGAUAUUCUAGUAAGUAGACCAAAUAUGGGAAUCUAUAAUUUCUGUGGCAAGUGCAUAGUCUAUUAAUUACUAUAAUGUGAUCUUGUCCAGUUGCACAAGUCCCCCAAUUAUAAUUGUCUCCCAUUAUUUUAUAUUUAGUCUUGAAAUUUCACUUAUAAAUAAAAGAAUUAGUUUUUCAAAUUUAAUAUAAACAAGAAACCAAUACCAAACUAAACAAGCACAAAACAAAUAAAAACGAUUAUAAUAUUUAUUAGGAUUGCCUGGAAUGUAAACAUAAAUAUGAGUAUAGUUAAUAUCUAAAUGAUAUUGAGACUUCAUAGUAGCCAUGAAAUUUUUAUAUAUUUUAAAUUAUUCAGGUGUUAUUUUCUUUCAGUAUAGUUUUAUAAUUCUCUGGAUACCUUUCUUAAAUUUAUUAUUGAAUUUAUGCCUAUGCAUUUUAUAUUUUUAUUAAAAUUAUAAGUGACAUCCUCUAUUAAAGAAUAUUUUCUAAAUGACUAUUGCUGGUUUAUAUAAAUGUAAUUUAUUUUUGCAUUUAAUUUAUAUUUAAUGUAGGUAUUUUGAGUUUUCUUUGUAGGAGAUAAUAUAAACUGCCAAUAUUCAUGCUUUUUCUUAUUAAACACUUUAUACCCAUUAUUGAUUUUUCAUUAUGUACUCCACAAUAUCUUUUAUUACAAAGUUGUUGUUAUCUUUUCUAUUGUUCAGGUUUUAAUGAAAUUCUUAGUAUUUUACUGUGAUGUUUACUGAAGGUUUUUGUAAAUACCCUUCAUUACGUUAAGUAAGUUUUCUUCUUUGAUAUGUGGUAAGAAUUUUUAUUAUGAAAGCAUUUUAAUUUGUUCAAAGCUAUUUUCUGCUUCUAUCAACAUGACAUUAUGCUAUUACUUUUCCUUAAUUAUUAACAUGGUGAAUAUAUUUUAUUAAUUCUGUAAUAUCAAACUUUACAUCCUUAUAAGUAAUGUAAAACAGGAUGUUUGAUUUAUUGAUAUUAGGUUAACUGCUUUUUUUUAACCUGAUAAUUUAAGUACUUUUAAAAUCAUUUGUUAAACCUCAAGAGAAAUGUAUCAAGAUUUCAUUGUUCUCAUAGUUAUUUAAAGAUUAGUAGCCCUCUUAAGUUCUCUGGAAAAUUACUAUACAAUUCUAGUAUAUAUUUUUAAAACUGCUUCUCAUCUUGAAGCAAUAAAGCAUUUGAGAAAAACACUAGAAUCAAGUUCUAUCAUCUCCAAUUAGAAUCUUUGUAGUUUUAGGAACAAUUUUUCUGCCUCAGUUUUCUCAUCUACAAAAUAAGGAUAAAAUAUUACUUAUAUACAUUGUUGUUUUGAGAAUAAAAUAAUGUACUAUAAUAGUGUAUUUUAUAACUGUACAUAAAUAAAUGAAAUGCUAUUGUUACAUAUAAUUACUAUCUUGUGUAAUUAAGUUCUGGUGUAUUUCAG
Molecule: long non-coding RNA, 6602 nt
Filed under: Homo sapiens (human)
Lineage: Eukaryota; Metazoa; Chordata; Mammalia; Primates; Hominidae
Description: HSALNT0147925
Source: RNAcentral